UCGUCCAUCCUCCCACUCCCCGCUGGUUUUUCUGUCCCUUCCUUCCUAAUAGCGGGUCUUUUCCGUCCCUCCUAAAAUCUCGCGUUUAGUUUCUGUUCUCACCUCCUGUCUUUUUUCUCCCUCCUAAAAUUUUGUGGUUAGUUUCCAUCGGUAGACCACCGAUGGCUGCUCCCAAACCAUGGUCCAUGUCUAAAAUUUCGUGGUCCAUAUAUAUCCAGUUUCCCCUCGCGUACCCGUCGCUCCAUCGAGUCCUUUAGUAGAGAGACAACCCUGACGUUGGACAAUGGCAGCGGCGACAAGCCGAUCUGACAAAGGCUGCACCAUGGCAUCAAGGAGGAGAAGCAGACCGAUCGAAAGUUCAUCACUGGCUUCGACACGACGGACCUCACCGCCGCCAGAGACGCCCACGACAUCUCGCAAUGCCCAAGGCGACUUGUCGCCAACGCCGCCUUCAACAUCCUCUCCCGAGCACGCCCAGGCGGAGCUGUCUGCUGCUGCUGCUAAGUUUAGGAUUGUGAUGUAGGGGUUGAUAAAGCACGUUCAGGAAUAAGAGAUAUACGAGCCUCUGCUGCUGCUAAGUUCGCCGUCCGGAUGUGGGACACAUCACCGCAGGCUGGGUAAAUCGGGACGCUGCUCUGUACUCGCAUGUCAGCAUGAGGGACUUUUCCAUGCAAGAAAGAUUCAGACAAGGGGAUUUAUGUAUUUAGCGUGGUAACUGGUAUCUGAUACACACUUGCAAGUUGCAACAUGCGAAAACAUUGACCAAGAACAGCAGUACCUUCAGAAGUAUCAAGCAGCAGCUACUUUGAAGAGAACUAAGGGUUCGCGCCAUUUUCUGUAUAUUAGUUUACCGUCUAAUCAUAUCCUGAUCAAGUUUAUACA
Molecule: long non-coding RNA, 882 nt
Organism: Aegilops tauschii subsp. strangulata
Lineage: Eukaryota; Viridiplantae; Streptophyta; Magnoliopsida; Poales; Poaceae
Source: RefSeq, a predicted model, not a curated record